This 9604-nucleotide long non-coding RNA is filed under the name Marmota monax (woodchuck). Lineage: Eukaryota; Metazoa; Chordata; Mammalia; Rodentia; Sciuridae. The record is from RNAcentral.
ACAAACUUACAACAGAAAGACACCAGACUAGAGAAAUCUCCACCAUCAAUACCAUAUAGCAUUCAAACACUGAGCAGGAAAAACACUGGGGAUAUGUGUUUGCUUUGCAUCCUACAUGUGGACACCAUCAGACACGAUUAUUGACCAAGGAAAAGAAAAGCGUCUCUUUUUUUGUACUAGGACUUGAUGUUAGAUAUUUUAAAAUAAAUUAUAAUAAGCUUGUAAAAAAAAAAAAGUACAAAGAACAAAAGGUGUUAACAUCUUGUCAUAGUUGCCUCUGAUCUUGCAAAGAGUGGAUGCCCCUUUGGGACCCCUUUCUCUUCCAUUUUCUUUUGAAGUUGAUAGUCAUCCUUCCUGUUAACAAUACACUUUUACUUCAUAUGUGUAUUUCUUUACCCACAUCUUUUACUUAUGGAAUUCUUCAUGAAUUAUUAAGUUUUUAAACGUAAGUUAUUUAUACAUUCUAAAUAUUAAUCCUUUGUUAAGCACAUGCUUUGGAAAUAUCAUCUCACUUUAUCAUUUAGUGUUUUAUGAUGUCUUUUGUUUUAAAUUUUUAAUCUAAUGCAAUUUAUCAUUUCCUCUGUGGGUUGUGUAAUUUAAUGUUUUGUUUAAGAAAUCCUUCCCUAUUCCAAAGUUUUGAAGAAAUUCUUCUUUAUUUUCCUUCAAUAUUUUUUAAAGUUUUUUUUUUCUUAUUUAGGUGUUCAAUCUGUAAAAAAUUUAAUUCAUAUGUGGAGAAAGGUAGGAACCUAACUUUAUGUUUUUCCUUAUGAAUGUUUGCUUUUUAAAUCAGAAAAUAAAGGAUUAAUCACUCCUUACACUCUAUAAACUCCUUAACAGACACUAUAAUCUAUACCCACCUUAUCAAUAUACUGCUUCAAAGUACUUAACACUACUUGUACUCAACAUAUAUUUGUUGGUGAAGGAGAAUUUUUCCAGUCCCCAUUAAUGAGAAUAAAUGCCAAAUUGUCCAUCUAAAAUAAUCUGAGUGGUGCUUAAUUUAUUCUCUCUGAGCAGGAAGUAACUUCUUAACAGGGUUAACAUGGCGUAACUACUGAAUUACUCCAAUUAAACCCAGGGUUAGUAAUGACUUCUCUAACUUUGCCCAUCUUUAGAGAGCUUUUGGGGGGUGGGUAAGGGAGGGAAUCUACCUAUUAAUCAAAUUAGACUCAUAUAUUUAUUCAUCUACCAGGAGAAAUGCACAAAAAAGACAUUUUAGCCUACUUCUGUAAAUCAACUAUUUGAAUCAGAGGAAUAUCUGUACCAAAUUCAAUUUGGCAAACAUUGUGAGAGUACCAACUUACAGAUUCAGGCCUAGUUGCAUUGGUUUAAUUCUUGUCAAAAACCUGCUUAUUUUCUCCUUUUUAUAAAUAGUCUGAAAGUAAAUUACACUUAAAACUCAAUUUUGAUCAAGGGAAUGGAUGGAAACCAAGAUAGAUAAUUUUUUUUUUUAAUUCUAAGAUUCUUUCUCUCAUGCUUUUGAAAAGGAGUCUCCCUUACAAAACUUUUAUCUUUUCCAAUAAUUCAAGGAACUUUACAGUGACAAAAAAGAAAAAAACACAUCUUGUUUUGGAGGACUGGUUCUAAAAAUGAGGAUGUAAAACUGACCAGAAAAAGUGAGACUGCAUUGGUAGAUGUAAAUAGAGUACAUGAAAUACAGUUUGGAAGAAAAAUAAUUUUAUUUUCAAACUUUGCUUAUAGAAUAACCUUUUUUUUUUUUUUUGUUGUUGUUGUUUUUCUUGCUAUGACUAGAAAAGGUACUGAGUUGGCCAAUGAUGUCAUUGCUUCCCUUCAUUUGAAAUAACUUCUGUGAGCAGGUUUUCUAAAAGAACCCUGGGGAAUCCUGCCCAGCUAAAGAAAACGAGUCUCUAUUGCUCAGAUUCAGCAGAGUCAAGAAAUACCACCUUCUGUUUCAUCUUUAAGGUAGUAAUGUAUGCCCUAUUGUUUUAUUGUACGUCACUUAGGGACCCUGAACUUCAAAACCGUGCUGCAUCUAAGAAAAUUAUCACAGAACCACAAUCUUGGGACACUGUGUAUUCAGAAGUAUCAGGUUGGUUGGUUUGCUUGCUUGUUUUAAGAUUCAUUCUUUUUCUUAAAAAGAUAAAGUUAACCAUGGGUGUAAAAGGAAAAAGUAACCUUAAAGAAAGCUUGUUCUUAAAAAACCUAACCAUCUUAGUGCUCGGGAAUUCCCUGUGUUCAAAAGAAAACAAGGAAAAAAAAUAUUAACAUUGCUAUCUUCUUUGCAAGCUUCUUUUAAAAUCGUCAUUGGAAGUCCCCUGGGAAAAUGAAAUUCACAUUUCUUACCUAUUCAAAAUCAUGCCGUGCCCAUGAACUACUGCCAAAGCCAAAGGAAAACGGGGGGGGGGCGAUGAAAGUGCGUUAACUUCUUAAUAAAAUCUGUGCGGGGGACGCUCGGCUGGUGGGACCCGGCCGCGCGAGUCGGGGAGCAGCCGGGUGGGUGAUGCAGGACGCCAGGCAAGGUCCCUGCUGCGGCAGCCAGGCGCAGGGCUCCUCGGAGGAGGUUGGUGCGGUCUGAAAUAACAGUUUUCUUUACCAAAUCAACUCGCUACCUAGGCCCACCAUCCCUGGCACCUCCUCCUGCUCCUCCCGCAGACAAUAACCUAAAAGUGAGACGGGAGGCUUGCGGGGGGGCGGUGCAAGCCCAGAAAGGGAACUGAGAAGAAAAGCGCCAGUGACAAGACACAAAAUGGAGAAAGAGGAACCGAGAGGGCAAAGAAACCAGGGAAGAGCCAGGAAAAGAGGUCAUUAAUAAGAACGGUAGAGGGGCUGUGGGGUGGAGAACGCCAGAAGGACUGCGCAGGAGGGAGCCGUUAGAGGACUGGGAGAGAAAAGCGACCAAGUAAGACGCAGAGGCGGAACAGACAAGAAAGACGUUCUAGAUGUCGAGGCUCCAUUUUCAGCAGCGCCAUAUUCGCUUUUCCUUUCGCCGCUUUUUGUUUGGUUUUGUUUGCCGGCGGUGGACAGGCGCCAGCGCGUUUCUGCAGCCUCAGCAGCUUCGGUCCGACAGAUGGGGAGGGUUGGAGGGCCCGGGCGGGGACGAGCGCCUUCGCCCGGACCCCGGCGCGGCCCCCUCCCCGGCCCAGCCACUUGUGUGCACCGCCCACCCGGCUGCCCUCGGCUGCGAGCCGGCCUCCACCUCGGCCCGGGCGGAGGAAGCGCCUCGCCGGGACCCGCGGCAGCACCCGGGGAGCCCAUGCCCUCUAGUUUCUCCCGGUGCUGGAGGGCGCGCGUGCCCAGGCGGUGGGUAACAGAGGAGCGUCGAAGAAAGAAACCGAAAAAGAGCAACUAAACCCGUUGGGAGGAGGAGAGGGCGCACUCUGGGGGAGAGCCGGCUGGGACGCCCGAAAAUAGAGUCUUUCUGGAGGUUACCCCGGAGUCAGGGCCUGGAUCUGGCCGGGUUCGGGCGGCCCGUGGGGCCACUUCCACCUGCGCGGGGGCUCGAUGGAAGCUGGGCUGCCCUGAGCGGAGCCUGGCCCCGGCCACCAGGCCUCUCCCUGCUGCAGGAAGAACGUCCACGGUCGGCCGUCGGCCGGCCGGGAGCCCCAGGCAGGGUCGGGAGGGAAAAACUAACCACUGCAGGCCUCGGGGGGCGCCGGUCCAUGGAGUGGCAGGAACUUCGUGGUGCCCUCCGCAGGGAUUUCAGGUGAAAUCGGUGCCUCGAAACUCCUUGGGGUUAAGUAUUGGGACAAUUGGCGGCAGUCCGCAGCUUGGAAAGCCAGGUCCUCUAGCCCCGACCUCACUCAGAUGGUUUCCGUGGAAUCGUAUCUGGGUUCAUAGAAAAAUGCCCAGUACGCCCCAAGUACAUUUCCUUCUUACGCCUCCACUUUUUUCUUAACUUGCACUUGACCUCACCCUUCGCUCAAAGUUCUGAAUUCGCCCGCGAUAGGAAAGAGCUUGGGUUCUCGGCGUCCCCAUCCCGCCGCUGGGGCUGCCGGGGAGCAGGCGGUCGACGAGACCCGCAGGUCGGGAGGCAGGGAGGCUGGAGCCCUCGCCGUUGGGUUUCGCGCAAGUGCCACCUGCCAGGACAGCCGGUGCACUCUAUCUCCUGGCCUUCCUUUCUUCGCCCUGCGGAAUUGAGGGUAGCUUGAGGCUGAAAUUGACAGCUUCUUUAGGCGGGUGGAGUGGAGCGUGUCAGUGAAACGGCUCGGGAUCACCGCAUGGUAACCGAACCCCACAAUGUGCCGCAAAGGAAAAGUUUUCACGCUAGUGUUUGCACGGCUCCCCAAGUCCCCUGUUCCUGGCCAUUUCUAACAAUACAAUCCUGUGCAUGUCACUGGCACCGGAGUGCGUGUUCGGUCACCUUAGACUCAGGAAUCUACUUGGCACCCUCGAAGCUACCCCACCCCCCACCCGCUCCUGGAACCCAGAGGCUCCUUAAGCCACAGAGGGCUCGUCCCCACCUGCGGCCCGGCUUUGGAUGUAGUAACUGUUAUUUUUUUACUACGUCUUUAUUAAUCCGCCUUUGAAUUUUGAAAUGGCAUUCAUAUAUCUGUUUUCCCAGACUACAGAUUUCCACAAGGAAAAUAUCUUUCCCAGGCAGCAAAAAAUCAGAUUCCUUUUAUCUUCUAUUUAAAAAUUCAGGUUGCAGUUUACUUAAAAAUAGAACCGUUUUCCCUAAGAGAAAGUUCAGUGACUAAAUUCAAACAAUAGUGUUGACACCUUUCUUCUGUGUUUUUGUGAAAGACUAAAAUCAAAUUUUAAAGAUGUAAUAGCCAUGUGAUGGCUUUACAAGAGACCACAAAAUUAAAAACUAAAAACAUUGACAACUUUCUAGGCCUACUUUACAAAAACAUUAUACCUUCUGUUUCUGAGAAAGAAAGAAAAGGCUAUAGGGGAUUUGGGGAAUUAAAGUAUUCAUGGCGGUCUAUUCAUGGACUAGACGUCAUCAUUCACAAUAGAUGAGAUUUUAAACUGGGCAUUGCCCAUAGGUCUCAUACUUAUAUUGUUUCUUGGACGUUCUUACUAGUCUUUUGUUCUGCCUUCUUAUGUAGAAAAGUUUUAUGGUUAGCUCUCCAGGUUUCCUUUAGUUUAAUCAGGAUUUAAAAACAAUUUAUAAACCCGCCAUUUAGGAAAGGAUAUUUUAUGGUAGCCAAAUACAUAAGUACAUUAUGCCUAAAAUAAGUUCUCAUCUAUCAAGGACUUGCUGCUUGUGAAAUAAAGGUUGGAAAUUUGUUCUUGGUAGGUGUUCUAUCUACUCUUAUCUAGUCAUUGAAUACAACUGAUUAGGGUUUGAAGGCCCACUUUUUUUUUUCCUAAAUCAUUGCAAAGUGUCUGUUAAACUCAUUUAUUAAACUCUUAAGAGAAACUUAGGAUUCUUUUCAUGAGGCAAUAUACUGAUCAAUGUACAACAAAUAUCAUGUUAAUGUAGGACACAUGUAAUGCUCAUGAGAUAAAUAUUGCUCAUAUGCAAUUCAAGAAGAAAUCAUCUCUAUUUGAUAGAUUUACCAUAUAAAAAAGGCAUAUUACUACCGUCAGAAUUAAGAGAAGCAAAAUUUUAAGUGAGCUCUAAAGUUAUAUUCAAAAUUUAUUUUGAAAAAUAGGUAAUACAAAUUACCUUUAGAAAAAAAUUUUGAUCAGAUACUUCUUAGAAAUGCAAAAAAAAAAAAAAAAAACCCACACAUACAAAAUCACAAAAGUCCAGCAUAUGAUAGUCAAUUUAUGGAUCAUUCAAUUUUAUAAAUCUAUGUUAAUUUUUAGCAUUAUCUAUUGGUCUACAAGUCAUUCAAAAAUUUAAAAUUAGUAAUGUCUUAAAUACUUGUAAAGCAUUUUUUUUAUGUUUGUAACUCCUUGUUUUGUUACAUCACAAGCCAUAAUUGCUUCAAUUCAUUGGAAUAUGUUAUACUAAGUGUAUUUUAAAUGAUCCUUAUUUGUAUUAUGAAUACACCAAAUUUCAAAUAUCUGCUUUUUUACAUUUUUCAAGUACAUUUUCUUAAAUUCCAGAAGGAUGAUAUAUUAACACACAGACUACAUUCAAGUAUUUCAUUCUAAUAGAACCUAAAUGUAAUGCCUACAAUAAGAUAUGUACAAUCAUAGGAAUUAGCAAAGAAAAUAGCUUCAUUUCAUCAUAAUUCUAUUGGCAUUUUAAGAAUAUUUCUUUUUUAUACCUAAAUGUUAAAAACUAAUAGUUUAUAUUCUUCAGUAGCCUCUUCCCAAUCCAUCACUUUAUUGAAUAAUUCAAUUAUGUCUACUUGACACCAAACACUUAAUGAAAUGAGGUAUCUCCAUUUUCCUUUGUAAUACUCCAUGCUCUUUCUGGAUUGUUUUAUGAGAAGUCAAUAUAGUUCAGAGAUGUUAACAGUUUUUAAUUUUAAAUUAGGAUAAACACUUGCAUUCAUUUAUCAAAUAUAUAAAAUUUAUUGAGGUCCUAGGUCACUGGCAAUGAAUGUAUUGAAAAUAAAUAUUGAUAUAUAAAAAUGUCAAGGUUACACACUUUAUAUUAACUGGGAAUUUAGAAGUACUUUUCUUUAAAAUGUUUUUAAAUAUCACCUCUUGCUUCAGGAGAGCUAAAAAUGACACUAAACAUCCUACACAAAGUGUGGGUAGCAGUGCUGGUGAUGAUUUUGGAGGUGAUUGAGGGGAGGUAUGAAGAUAAUUAUAAAGCUUUUUUUAUCUGUUUAAAAACAUUUUUUGUGUAUGUUUUUUCAGCUAAAUAUUUGGCAAUAUAGUCAAUCAAUGUCUCAGGCAAUUUCUUAGGUACUCAAGACCUAAAAAUAAAAGAGUGAAAGAACAUCGACUAGCUAAAAUACUAGAGUUUUUAUGUCACAAAAAUAACUAUCUAUAUGCCAUUAAUGGUAUUAAUGAAAAAUAAACAAAGAAUUACAGAAAAAUUACAUGAUUGUGUUGCUAAAUAAAGAAGGAUUGCUACAAUAAAUGCAAUAUUUUAUUAAAAAAAAAACCAAAACUCAGUAAUCUUUUACAGUGGUUUUCACAUAAUGUUUUUACAUGUUGUUUUAAAUUCUGUUUAUUAUAGCACAAGAGUUCUGAAUUGAGUUGUUUUUAAACAUAUAGACUACCCAGCUGACUUUCUACACUAGGAAUAAAAAGAAACAAGUGGAAUUCUUGGUUAUUAACAAGGGUUUAAACAAUGAUAACAGAAUUUCAUAAAUCAAUUAUAUGCUCCAUUUGAAGAUUAUAAAGCAUAAUUAACUUACUUGACACCAAUACAGUGUUUUGUUUCUUCACAGAAUGUACCAUGAGCUGUUUUCAAUUAUUGCCACUGAAAUGUUGUCCUUCAAAAUUAACAAAUGAAUGAAGCGUUUGCAUACUGCACAGAGGACAACCUAGAGUGAAGUUUUCUAAUUAUCUUGUAAUUAAAUUUUGUUUACUUGCAAAAUUUGUUCUCCACUGAGAAACAAGUGUUACCUAUCUUUAAAAAAGAAAAACUAAACAACUUUGUGGGGGGAAAAAACCCUAAGGUGUUACAGUAUCUUUAUGAAUGAUAUGAGAUAAAAUUAAUUAUUUGAAAUGACAUCUAAAAAUUGGAUUUUAAUUCUUAAUUUAGGAUAUUGAGCAUAAAAUAUUGUAGUUUUAUUGUAAAUUUUACUGGGCCAUUCUUUACAAAAACACAGAAAAACAGAAAUACCUAGAUAAUAAAACAUUUUUCAGUUAUAUAAAAUAUAGGAGAGUCUUAGGGAUGGGAAGGGGACCCAGAAAUAGAAAAGUAGCUAUUUGCCAAAUAUUUCCAUCACCAAUUUACUGAUGUCUUCAACAUUUUUAUAGUUCAAAAUUUUGAAGCCGAAUGUGGUGGCUUAUGCUAUAAAUCCAGCUAUUCAGGAGGCUGAGGCAGGAAGACCACAAGUUCAAGGUCGGCUUCAGCAACUUAGCAAGGCCCAAACAACUUAGUGAGACCCUGUCCCAAAACAAAAAAUAAAAAGGGCUGGGGAUGUGGCUCAGUGGUGAAAUGUCAUUGAGUUCUAUCUCUGGUACAAAAAAAAAAGUUGAAUCUAAGGAAAAUCUAAAUCUAAAUGCUACUGGGAAAACUAACAUCCUAAGCUAUUCUGUUAUCAAUUAUUUACACCUUUAAAUUAGUGCCUUAACAAAUGUUGGUGAAAGGAAGAGAAAGUUUCAGAAUGCUGAGUAAUUAACAUGAAUCAGAGAAGUUGAAGAAGUGGGAGGGGACAGAGGAAAAGAGGAUUGUUCAGCAACAGAUAAACAUUUUAGUUCACACUUUUCUUUUUCCUGGUCAAAAUUAAUUACCUAGGGGCUGAGGUUGUGGCUCAGUGGUAGAAUGCUUGCCUAACAUAUGUGAGGCACUGAAUUCGAUCCUCAGCACCACAUAAAAAUAAAUAAAAUAAAGGUAUUAUGUCUAUCUAUAACUAAAAUUUUUUUAAAAAAAUUAAGUAACACUCCAUUAACAUUUAAUGACCUACAGUCCACUUCAUUUUAUACUAUUCUUUAUAUAUGAACAAUUAAACUAUAAGUGCAAGUUAAUGGGAGAAAAUAAAUUAAUUAGAGAUUUUAAGUACACAACCUGAAUGUAAAAUAAUCAGUUCAUUAAAAUCAUGUCUAUAAAAUAGAAAAUGAGCUGUUAGUUUUGUUAUGAUGUACUUGACAACCAGUUAACUUCUCUGUCUAUAUUAAUCAUACUAACCAAAUAUUGCUAAAUAUCAGCUUUACUAUGAACUGUGUUAAUACAUAUCACAAGUAGAUACAAUCUCUUAAAACAUUUCAUAGUAGAUUCUAGGGUGUUUUCUCCUAUUGGUUAUAUUAGCAACAAAUUUCCACAAUGUAUAGAAAUUAGAACAUUUAUCAAUUCAAAAUAAACUACUAAAAUAGCCAAACAAUCAUGUAAUGGUUCAGUUACUUCAAACAUAAACCAGACUCAGAUUCCUCUGCCAUAAAGAACUGGUCAUUCAAGAUUCUAUCCUAAAAACAAUAUUUACCCUUUUCAGGCUAACUCCAAACAAAUUAAAACUAAUGGAUCACCAACAAUUUAGUUAACUUCACAAUUUAAGUGAAAAAUGAAUUGGUAAAAAUGCUAAUGACCUAAGUGUGAAAUUUAUGGGUGUUCCUAACUCUUAACUAUUAAACAAAUACUAAUCAUUAAAUUAGGCAAAACCAAUAUACAUAUUAUAUAUGUGUGUGUAUAUGCAUAUAUAAUUUCGAGUUAAUUUAUCAUCUAUAAUUGAUUAUUCCUCUUUGCAAUUCAGUAGCUUAUCAGUGAUCAAAGAUGUGUUUCAACAGAUUAAUUCUUUAAACAACUGGAAACCAUUUCUCAAUGGCACAGCAUUUCUUAAUGUUAAUCCAAGAGGCAUGGAGACACUGCUGAUUUUGGAAGGUGAUUUGUCAAUACAUUGACAUCUAAAGGAAUGGUUUAGUUUGUGCUCUAGGCUCAGUGAAGGAGAUACACUCUUCAGUAGGUUCAGGCAUUUGAGGAUUCCAAACCAUUUCCUAGCUGGUUUUUAUCUGCUCCCUGAGUGCAGUUUUGAGAACCUAUAAGCUUCUUCUCUCCUCUCUGACUUGAUCUGGGUUUCUUAUUUUGUGAUUGCAGACUAAAUUUUUUCUCCCAUAUUCCUAACUUUGAAUUUACAAAUAAACUUAUCUCCUGAAUUGAGAUGUCUGUCUGGUUUUGAAAAGAUGUUUACCU